GGUGGCUCAGUGGUAGAGUGCUUGCCUUACAUGCAUGGGGCCCUGGGUUCGAUUCCUCAGCACCA
RNAcentral lists this transfer RNA (65 nucleotides) under Dipodomys ordii (Ord's kangaroo rat). It matches the Rfam family "tRNA". Rfam says of the family: Transfer RNA (tRNA) molecules are approximately 80 nucleotides in length. Their secondary structure includes four short double-helical elements and three loops (D, anti-codon, and T loops). The record is from Rfam by way of RNAcentral. Lineage: Eukaryota; Metazoa; Chordata; Mammalia; Rodentia; Heteromyidae.